This is a long non-coding RNA of Perognathus longimembris pacificus (Pacific pocket mouse), 657 nucleotides long. RefSeq lists it as uncharacterized. The transcript is spliced from 3 exons. Lineage: Eukaryota; Metazoa; Chordata; Mammalia; Rodentia; Heteromyidae. The record is from RefSeq and is a predicted model, not a curated record.
CACGGCCCCCAAGCCACCUCACGCUGGAGGCGUCGGAUGAGGGAGCGCGGGGGAACUGAGGGGCGCCGCUUUGGACGUCGAGCGCUCGCCUCACGUUCGGCUAGCCACGAUGGCGGCUUGGCGUUGUUUUUUUUUUUGUUUUUGUUUUUUUUUCCUCGCUCGCUUGUUCUUCACGGUCUCAGGCGGAGCCCGAGUGGUUGACACUGAUGCGUCGCCAGGGGAGGCGAGGGAGAGCAGACCUCCAAGAGACUGAGCGAGAACUAUGGACCAUGAUAGGUGUAUGAAUUCCAGUUGACACUUCUUGGAGGAAGAUGGACAGAAUGAAUAUUUGUGAUUGCCUGGGGAUGAGUAACAGUAAGAAGACAUUUCUAUCUACAAUAAAGAAGGAAACAUUACAAAGAAGUACCUGGAAACUACCUUGAGUCAUAGAUGUGUUUAUUAAUUUCACUAAGUUGAUGGUUUUAUGGUGGUACAUUAUUAUAUGUCAAGGUAUAUGAAAUUGUGUAUCAAAUACAUACUUAGUGUGUUUGUUGACUGUACUCCACAAAAGUAAAAGUUUUGCAUUUCUAUCUUGCCAAAUAUUGUUAUUUUAAAUUAGAAACUUUGUAGAAGGUAAACUGACUAGUUAAGUGAACACAAGUUACAGGGCAUAGAUUU